Molecule: ribosomal RNA, 811 nt
Filed under: uncultured bacterium
Lineage: Bacteria
Description: bacterial SSU rRNA
Rfam family: Bacterial small subunit ribosomal RNA
Source: RNAcentral
AGAGUUUGAUCCUGGCUCAGGAUGAACGCUAGCGGCAGGCCUAAUACAUGCAAGUCGAACGGGAUCCAAUUUAAAGCUUGCUUUAGAUUGGUGAGAGUGGCGCACGGGUGCGUAACGCGUGAGCAACCUACCCAUAUCAGGGGGAUAGCCCGAAGAAAUUCGGAUUAACACCGCAUAACACAGCUGUAUCGCAUGAUACUACUGUUAAAUAUUUAUAGGAUAUGGAUGGGCUCGCGUGACAUUAGCUAGUUGGUAAGGUAACGGCUUACCAAGGCGACGAUGUCUAGGGGCUCUGAGAGGAGAAUCCCCCACACUGGUACUGAGACACGGACCAGACUCCUACGGGAGGCAGCAGUAAGGAAUAUUGGUCAAUGGACGGAAGUCUGAACCAGCCAUGCCGCGUGCAGGAUGACUGCCCUAUGGGUUGUAAACUGCUUUUGUCAGGGAAUAAACCUACUUACGUGUGAGUAGCUGAAUGUACCUGAAGAAUAAGGAUCGGCUAACUCCGUGCCAGCAGCCGCGGUAAUACGGAGGAUCCGAGCGUUAUCCGGAUUUAUUGGGUUUAAAGGGUGCGUAGGCGGCCUAUUAAGUCAGGGGUGAAAGACGGCAGCUCAACUGUCGCAGUGCCUUUGAUACUGAUGGGCUUGAAUGCUAUUGAAGAUGGCGGAAUGAGACAAGUAGCGGUGAAAUGCAUAGAUAUGUCUCAGAACACCGAUUGCGAAGGCAGCUAUCUAAGCAGUAAUUGAUGCUGAUGCACGAAAGCGUGGGGAUCAAACAGGAUUAGAUACCCUGGUAGUCCACGCCCUAAACG